AGUUAGUCAUCGUGGACGUAAACAAACCUCUGGUGCACUUUGCUAAAACCGUCCACACUUUCAAAUGCGCACGACUUAUUUUGAAAGGCACAUAAAUAGGUGUAACUUUGCAAACAUGUCUUAAGAGCAGAGAUCCAGAAGGACCCUCCAGUAUUGUCCACCGAGAGAAAGAGAAACAGGCUGACAAAAGAAGCUAUUGUUCCCGGCGAACAAUUCAAGAGGCCUAUAAGCUGUCCUCUGCGAUCAGGCGCGCGGGCGCUGAUUUGAAUGCAAGGGGGGCCCAUCCGAGAAGAAACGCUGAUAUAUAGCCAGAUAGGCUUAGAACAGUAGCCAACAUAAAUGUAGGCGAGUUAGUCUUUAACCAACGUUUGAAAAGACGCGCUCAGUGGGCAGACAAAGUUUAGAGGCGGAGAGUUUUGGGAGAUGCAACAAGUCACACCUGCUCCCUUCUCAGAUGCUCACCAGUGAGACUGUGGUCCACGUGGUCACAGACGAACCGCAGAGAGACGGCAGCUGCCCAUCCUUUUCGUCCCACAACACCCUGCAAGGAUACAAAUGCACAUCCAAUGUUCCUCCAGUCAAGAUGUGCUGAAACAUUUUUGGAAUAACAUAUGAAAUCAGUGCUACAGGACAAUUUAAUAAAUCAAAAAAGUAAAAACAUGAAGAAGAAAGAACUGAGAAUAUAUUUGGGUUCACAUUUUGUGUUUUUGUUAUUUUUUUCUCUUUUGACUGCUGUACACUUUCACAUUUUUGUUAAUGCCUGUCAUCUUUAACUGGAAAGUUUAGGAGUCCUCUAAUAAAGGUAAUACGUCUAAACAAGCUGCUUGGAUAUCUAAAUUGCAUCCAUUUAAAUGGGCCAAAAAA
Molecule: long non-coding RNA, 864 nt
Organism: Oryzias latipes (Japanese medaka)
Lineage: Eukaryota; Metazoa; Chordata; Actinopteri; Beloniformes; Adrianichthyidae
Source: RefSeq, a predicted model, not a curated record